Molecule: ribosomal RNA, 87 nt
Filed under: Exiguobacterium artemiae
Lineage: Bacteria; Bacillati; Bacillota; Bacilli; Caryophanales
Also listed under: 2 other names
Source: RNAcentral
CGUUCCCAUGCCGAACACGGAAGUUAAGCACUUGAACGCCGAAAGUAGUUGGGGGCUUCCCCCUGUGAGGAUAGGACGUUGCCAGGC